AUGCAAGUCGAGCGGGGGAAGGUAGCUUGCUACUGGACCUAGCGGCGGACGGGUGAGUAAUGCUUAGGAAUCUGCCUAUUAGUGGGGGACAACAUCUCGAAAGGGAUGCUAAUACCGCAUACGUCCUACGGGAGAAAGCAGGGGAUCUUCGGACCUUGCGCUAAUAGAUGAGCCUAAGUCGGAUUAGCUAGUUGGUGGGGUAAAGGCCUACCAAGGCGACGAUCUGUAGCGGGUCUGAGAGGAUGAUCCGCCACACUGGGACUGAGACACGGCCCAGACUCCUACGGGAGGCAGCAGUGGGGAAUAUUGGACAAUGGGGGGAACCCUGAUCCAGCCAUGCCGCGUGUGUGAAGAAGGCCUUAUGGUUGUAAAGCACUUUAAGCGAGGAGGAGGCUACUUUAGUUAAUACCUAGAGAUAGUGGACGUUACUCGCAGAAUAAGCACCGGCUAACUCUGUGCCAGCAGCCGCGGUAAUACAGAGGGUGCGAGCGUUAAUCGGAUUUACUGGGCGUAAAGCGUGCGUAGGCGGCUUAUUAAGUCGGAUGUGAAAUCCCCGAGCUUAACUU
RNAcentral lists this ribosomal RNA (566 nucleotides) under Acinetobacter baumannii OIFC189. Its description in RNAcentral is "bacterial SSU rRNA". It matches the Rfam family "Bacterial small subunit ribosomal RNA", at positions 55 to 615 of the family's 1533-position model. Lineage: Bacteria; Pseudomonadati; Pseudomonadota; Gammaproteobacteria; Moraxellales; Moraxellaceae. The record is from RNAcentral.